CUACUCAGACAGGUGUGCAAUUUAAAAUAUAUGAAUUUUUUAUUUCUGAAAAAUUCCAUUUAAUAUUUUCAGAAUGUGUUGACCGUGGGUGACAAACUGUGGAAAGAAAAACCACAGGUGCUUUAGCUGGUUUAAUUUCCUCAAGUUCACUUUUUUAUUUUAUGAUGUGGACAAAGCCAGAGAAAUUUUAUAAAGAAAAACCCUGAAUCAUUAGGAAAGACGACCAUGUCUAAACAUCAUGAAGGGCUUCAGAUUGUGCCAAUGCCAGUUCUGAGAAGGACACUACUUUGGAGGUAAACCAACAUACAGAUACAAACAAGGAUCCAGCUGCACAAGAAUGGUUACAAAUAUGAAGAUUGGCCUUGUGACCACUGUAAAGGCAGAAACACCUGCCCUGAACAAAGGGAUGGUUGAUCUCAUCUCGAUGCUCGUUGCUCCCAGCCUGAGAAGUAUUUUAUUUGUGUGAUGGAUGGACCUGGGGACUGUGAUGCCAUCUGCCCGAAGGACAGUGCUUCCAGGAUGGGAUAGGGACAAAGAGUCUGUAUUAUCCUGUAAGACUCUCAUAAAAUGCUUUGAGAGGUCAAUCCUGUGAAACAACUUCAAACUCAGAAAAGAUUAACUUUUCAGAUUAUAAAUAUCUGGCUCUUUCUUUCAUGUUUAUCAGAAUCUUUUCUAAGAUACUGGCGAUAC
This is a long non-coding RNA of Diceros bicornis minor, 690 nucleotides long. RefSeq lists it as uncharacterized. The record is from RefSeq and is a predicted model, not a curated record. The transcript has 4 exons. Lineage: Eukaryota; Metazoa; Chordata; Mammalia; Perissodactyla; Rhinocerotidae.